GGUUGUGGCUCUGUGGUAGAGCUCUCACCUAGAAUGUGGGAGACCUGGGUUCAAUCCUCAGCACCA
This 66-nucleotide transfer RNA is filed under the name Ictidomys tridecemlineatus (thirteen-lined ground squirrel). RNAcentral's name for it is "Spermophilus tridecemlineatus (thirteen-lined ground squirrel) tRNA". It matches the Rfam family "tRNA". From Rfam's summary of the family: Transfer RNA (tRNA) molecules are approximately 80 nucleotides in length. Their secondary structure includes four short double-helical elements and three loops (D, anti-codon, and T loops). Further hydrogen bonds mediate the characteristic L-shaped molecular structure. tRNAs have two regions of fundamental functional importance: the anti-codon, which is responsible for specific mRNA codon recognition, and the 3' end, to which the tRNAs corresponding amino acid is attached (by aminoacyl-tRNA synthetases). tRNAs cope with the degeneracy of the genetic code in two manners: having more than one tRNA (with a specific anti-codon) for a particular amino acid; and 'wobble' base-pairing, i.e. permitting non-standard base-pairing at the 3rd anti-codon position. The record is from Rfam by way of RNAcentral. Lineage: Eukaryota; Metazoa; Chordata; Mammalia; Rodentia; Sciuridae.